AAAUUUCAUUUUCCCAUUUCAGGAGGCUAGUCUGUAAUAUUCAAUAAUGGAUUUAAGAUGAGAGAAUACUGGCUUAUUGAUGUAUAAAAUCACAUCGUCACUGGAGUUCCUGUCUUCCUUCUAUUCUGUAAUUGAUUCUGUAAGUUAUCAGGCAUUCUUUUUAACUUAAUCCAAGCCCCAUUUUGGAAAAAGUUACAACUUGUGUUGCAAGAUGAUCCACAGAUCUUAGAUGAAGAUGGUAGACAACACUCACAAUAUGAAAGAGGAGCUGAUCCCUGAGUCACAACUUGAAGAAGAAGCAAAUUACCAUGUCCUGGACUGCCCAAGGCAUAGGCAUUGACAAGUUUCUGAGGGUGGCCUGUACAAGUUGGGAGCAGUCCCUGACCUACAAUCAGCAAGAAGUUGAAGACUUUUAGUCUCUACAGCCUCAAGGUACAGAUUUCUGCCGACUCCAGUAAGUAUGGAAGAGCCUGAACCUA
This 479-nucleotide long non-coding RNA is filed under the name Callithrix jacchus (white-tufted-ear marmoset). RNAcentral describes it as "lncRNA (ENSCJAG00000083392.1)". The record is from RNAcentral. Lineage: Eukaryota; Metazoa; Chordata; Mammalia; Primates; Cebidae.